AACGAACGCUGGCGGCAUGCCUAACACAUGCAAGUCGAACGAGACCUUCGGGUCUAGUGGCGCACGGUGCGUUACGGGGGGGAAACUGCCCCUUAGGUCGGGAAAACUCCCCGGAAGGGGGGCUAAUUACGGGAAAAGGUCUUGGGCCAAAGGAUUAAUGGCCUUGGGAUGGGCCCGGUUUGGUUUGGCGAGUUGGUAGGGUAAAAGCCUACCAAGGCGACGAUCCAUAGCUGGUCUGAGAGGAUGAUCAGCCACACUGGGACUGAGACACGGCCCAGACUCCUACGGGAGGCAGCAGUGGGGAAUAUUGGACAAUGGGCGAAAGCCUGAUCCAGCAAUGCCGCGUGAGUGAUGAAGGCCUUAGGGUUGUAAAGCUCUUUUACCCGGGAUGAUAAUGACAGUACCGGGAGAAUAAGCUCCGGCUAACUCCGUG
Molecule: ribosomal RNA, 433 nt
Filed under: uncultured bacterium
Lineage: Bacteria
Description: partial 16S ribosomal RNA
Rfam family: Bacterial small subunit ribosomal RNA
Source: RNAcentral